CAAGAUGAAAAUUCGCCACAGUUUCCGUCAUAAAUUCACAAUGACUGAUAUUUUCUUAUUAUAUGUGUAGUUAUAACGCAUUUAUCAGUGUUUGGUCGUGUCACUCAUGGGAUGUGCUGCCCCCCCUUCACCCCACUCACAGGCUUUAGCGUGUGCCCAUUUGAGGCUCUUUUUGUCAAACAUGCGUCAGGUGCUGCUUGGUAAGUUUUGUUUUGCUAUCUUGGCUAUGCCAUGUUGCUUUAGCCUUUAAAGGUCUGUGCUGAGAGUCAUCACACACAAACUAGCUUAGCAUAGCAUUAGCAUAGCAUUUGCGUUAGCAUUUAGCGUGGUGACUCGGCGACAGACCUGUUAAGUUUCACGAUUUGGUCGGGAGACUCCCGAUUUUGACCCCAAUGCUCACGCCUCACGAUUAGAAAGCUAAAUCUCCCGAUUUUCCAAAAAUGUCAAUUUUAUUUUAUUUUUUUUACGUUUUUGUUUGUCACCGUUUUGUAAAGAUACCAUUCAGCCCGAUUCGGAAAGUGACCAACAACGAAUAGCCUGGCCGUCUCCGACUUCCCUGCCCUCCCUCCCCUUCAGAGCUGGAAAAGCCCAAACAUCUGACAGGGAGGGAAGAGGCGAAGCACCACCGACUUCCCAAGAUGCUGGCACUAAUAAACCGGCUUUUAGACUGGUUCAAGUCUUUAUUUUGGAAGGAAGAGAUGGAGCUGAUUCGGGAAAAACGACGUUCGUCAACGUAAUUGCCUCUGACGAAACCCUAAUUGGAGUGAUGGUUGAUGAGAUGAAGAGGCUGCUGAGGAAGCUGAUGUCCAAAUUUGUGCAAAUGGAUGUGAUCAGGAAAGCUGAGGAUAUCCUAGAUGUUGAUUACAGGAACAAGGAGAACUGGCAUGACACAGGCAACAUAGCGGUAUCACAUGAUGCCAGACAAUACAUGGAGCAAGUUGAAGACUAUCUCUGAUGCCACCAAAAAGAGGUUCUUUGACAGUGUAGUUAAUUUUUACACAAGUGUUGUGACCAAAAUGAACUUGAAAAAAAAUGGUUGCAUUUUGUCUUAGCGAUUGUCGCGCGAGCGCGCGUCAUCGGGGUUGGCAAACAGAAAUCUCCCUAUUUGCAAUUUCUACAACUUAACAGGUAUGCUCGGUGUCUUCUUAAACACUGGGAAAACAUUUUACAUACAGUUCGUGGUGUCCAGGUGAGUUUAAUUAAAUUGCAAAUAAUGUGCCGUUUUCCUGCUGGGUGUGUAUUAUCAUCAUGAAAAUGGUGAUGUCCUUGUAGACUACAGUUAUGUGCUCGUCUGUCAUGUUCAUUCGAAAUUGUUGGAAACCUUUUAUUUAUUUAUUUAUUCAUGGACGAAAACAUUGAGAAUUUUCGACUAAAACUAGACGAGGACUAAUACAUUUUGAAAUGACUAAAAUAUGACUAAGACUACAAAGUAUUUUUGUUCAAAAAAGACUAAGACGAAAAUUGAAAUGGCUGCCAAAAACAACACUGGUUUAUAUGUAUGGCUAAAACACAGGUUACAUGCAUGUCUGACAAAAAAAGGAUCCUGGCUGCAGUACCAUUUUUGGCCACUAAUCUUACAUAUGGCUCCUAUAGACCCUACUCACCAACGUCACAAAAUGACGUGUCGCUGUAUCCGGCCGCCAUAUUGUCCGUCAUUGUUUAGCUCUAUUCUCAAUGGUUUCAAUUAGUCGUGCAAUUUAUAUAUAUAAAAAAAAAAAAAAAGUUGACUGCGACGCGUCAAGGAUAGGUGCAUAUUGGACUAUUUCUUCAAUAAAAUACACAACUGUGUCUGCUUCAUUUGCAAAGAGACAGUCGCGGAAGAUACGCAACGAGAAAUUAAAGCAACUUGAAGCUAAUUUAAUUUCACAGCAGCAAUAUUUCGCAAGAGCCCGAGGGUCAAAAGGAAACUGAUUGUUGAAAUUAUGAAUUAAAAAAAAUAAUAAAGCAAAUGUAACACACAGAAGAGCUUGCUAAAAUUUCUUUAAAUGUAUUGUUCUACGUUAAUCAGCCCUGGUAGCCCCCUACAUUUUUACCACACCAACUCUGGCCCCCUUUGCAAAAAGUUUGGACACCCCUGUUUAUCCGAUGAUCCGUAGACGAGGCCAGCUUCUUUCACUUGUUACCAGCUAAAUAUUAUUCAAAAAAUAAAGAUGGUGGAAGAAAUAGGCAUCUUGAAUUUGAAACUGUAUGUUGUCGGCGAUUAGCCUAGCAAUGAUCUUAAUUGUGGUUGUCAGCCCAAAACCCUCUAAAUAUAUAUUAAAUGUAUCUUACCAGAUAUAAAAUGACUACUACAUAAUCUGUGGUAAUCGUUUGGAGCCCAGUUUUCUCAUCGAAUUGUAGCAGUCCAUCUCGCUCUCCUCUCCGGGUCUCUCGGAAUACGGUAGAACUUCAAGUCUCUCCGUCUAUCUUCUCUGUUAUUGCAACCGACUGCCACACACGUCUUCACCAUUUUGAUUAUGAAUGUUAACGAGCAGAAAAACACGCCAUAAUAGGAGGAAUUUACGUAGCGGUAAUCCGUCAACACGACGAGUUGAUGGACAAUAUGGCACUGCGGCGUGGUUGUGACGUCAUGUGAGUAGGGUCUAUAAAAUGGAGCGCAAAUGAAGCUACCAAAAUAGAAUAUGCUCAAAGUUUACUCGUGACUGAAGGAAAAAAGAAAAAAAAAUAUUUGCGUGAACUAUUUUUGAUGCAUAUACCUCUAACUAAUUACUUUGCUUUUACAUGAACCCACAGAAAUCUUUAAAAUACGGUAUGAAUAAUACCUGUGCUUUGACUAUGCCCUUUUCAACUUUCUUCUGGCGCCUGAGGAGGAGGAACUUCCGAGUAGCACACUGGAUAACCAAUGCAGAUUUGUGGCGCCGAGCUAACCAACGCCUGACUGCUCUUUGGGCUGUAACCACCUUCCUUCGGUCUGCCAGGUAGCGUCUCUUUUGCAGCACCAUUCGCACCAAAUUCUGAGAGACAGAAAUGUUUUCAAGGUCCAGUAUGCUCGCAAAGCUCUUUGGAUCUUAAUAGCACAGAGGUGGUGGAAGACAGCCCCAGCAAAACGAAGUCUCCUCUGUGCAAUGGCAGCCUCGUGUUCCUGGAUUAUACAAACAAUUAAUUUUUGUAAUAGUGACAAUGUAUACUUGAAUAGAAAAAAAAUAAUUUUGUAAUACCUGCUUUCGCACAACCCAGUCUCUGUAGUAGCUUUGAAGUGUGACUGCUGCCUGCCUUAUUCUGACAAAUCUUUUUCUUUCGACAUUGCCAACCUGCAUUGCUCGGAACCUCUCUUGCAAUUUCACAGCUGCCUCUCUCUUCUUCUGGAAGAUGCGCCUCUGGACUGAGCAUCUCCAGUAUGAUUGGAUCAAGCAAGCAGCUCCAUUUUGUUGGUUUAUGUCUCUCCUAACACAGUGGCCUCGAUACGCAGCCUGGAGAAUCACUGCAGCCCAUUUCAUUUUCAGGAAGUUUGUUCUUUCUUGCCUUUGACGGAUAAAAGCCCGGUAGUGCUUCUGAAUCACCACAACAGAUGCAUGCAGAAUUUGAAGUAUAACAUGUUUCCUGUAUGCCAAUUGGAUUACAGUUGCAGCCUGGUGCAAACGGACAAUGAAUUUUCGGGUUUGUUUGCCUCUGAAAUGUGCCUGUAAGAUGAUGGCAGCGUUGCACAAUUCCAAGAACCGUUUCCUUUGAGAUUUGGCUGCUCUAGCAGAACGAAACCUUUGCUGAAUGGUCAGUGCAGAGGAUUUUAUUUUCAAAUACCGCUUCAACUUACAAUGGGCUCUGAAUGUUGCUUGAAUGGUUGUGGCAGCCAGAUGCAUUUGCCUGAUGAAUUUUCUUGAUUUCAUUCCCCGAAAGGCAGCUUGUAGAACAAAAACAGCAUUCCUGACUUCUUCAUAGUGUUUUACCUCCAUGUUCCUCUGUCUCAGUGCUCUAAAUCUCUGCUGUAAGACAGAAAUAGCCCAGAGUUGUUUCUUGAAAGCCAAUUGCUGUUGAUGUCUCUUGAAAUAUGCUUGAAUGAUUGUAGCUGCUCUGUGCAUCUUGGUAAUCCUUUGUCUUUCUAAACAACCCCUGUAAAUGGCCUGCAGAAAUAUAACUGAAGAUCUGAUUUUCAGAAAGUAGUAUCUUUGUUUUUUCUGAAGGACAUAGGAUCUAUAGUAUCUUUGAAUGGUGACUGCUGAUGAACACAUAGACUGGAAUUUCAUUUUUUCUCUGCGACCUCUGAAAACAGAUUGGAUCACAGUUGCAGCCAGAUGCAAUUGUUUAAUGGCUCGUCUUGUUUUCAUUCCUCGGAAUGCAGCUUGUAGUCUGAUCACAGCAGUUUUGACUUCCUGAUAACGUUGUUGCUCAAGGUGUCUCUGUCUCAAAGCUCUAACUCUCUGCUGUAAGAUACAUAUUGCCCAUAGUUGCUUUUUGAACGUCAAUUGCUGCCUGUGUCUCUUGAAAUGUGCUUGAAUAAUAGUAGCUGCUCUGUGCAUCUUUGCAAUUCUUUGUCUCUCCAACUGACCUCUGUAAGCCGCCUGUAAACAGAUGAUAGAAGAUCGGAUUUUCAUGAAGUAGUCCCUUUCUUUUUUCUGAAGAAUAUAUGCUCUAUAGUAUCUUUGGAUGGUGAUUGCUGAUGAGCACAUAGACUGGAAUUUCAUUUUUUCUCUGCGACCUCUGAAAACAGAUUGGAUCACAGUUGCAGCCUGUUGCCAUCGUUUAAUGGAUCGUCUUGUUUUCAUUCCUCUGAAUGCAGCUUGUAGUCUGGUCACAGCAGUCUUAACUUCUUGAUAACGUUGUUUCUCAAGGUUUCUCUGUCUUAGACCUCUAACUCUCUGCUGUAAGAUACAUACAGCCCAUAGUUGCUUCUUGAAAGUCAAUUGCUGCCUAUGUCUCUUGAAAUGUGCUUGAACAAUGGUAGCUGCUUUGUGCAUUUUAGCAAUUCUUCGUCUCUCCAAAUGGCCCCUAUAGGCCGCUUGUAAGCAGAUGAUUGAGGAUCUGAGUUUCAUGAAGUAGUACCUUUCGUUUUUCUGAAGAUUAUAUGCUCUAUAGUAUGUUUGGAUAGUGAUGGCUGAUGAGCACAUGGCCUGGAAUUUUAUUUUUUCUCUGUGACCUCUGAAAGCAGACUGGAUCACAGUUGCAGCCUGCUGCCACCGUUUAAUGGAUCGUCUCGUUUUCAUUCCUCGGAAUGCAGCUUGUAGUCUGAUCACAGCAGUUUUAACUUCUUGGUAACGUUGUUUCUCAAGGUUUCUCUGUCUUAGAGCUCUAACUCUCUGCUGUAAGAUACGUACAGCCCAUAGUUGCUUCUUGAAAGUCAAUUGCUGCCUAUGUCUCUUGAAAUGUGCUUGAACAAUGGUAGCUGCUCUGUGCAUCUUAGCAAUUCUUCGUCUCUCCAAAUGGCCCCUAAAAGCCGUCUGUAAGCAGAUGAUUGAGGAUCUGAUUUUCAUGAAGUAGUCCCUUUCUUUUUUCUGAAGAAUAUAUGCUCUAUAGUAUCUUUGGAUAGUGAUGGUUGAUGAGCACAUGGCCUGGAAUUUCCUUUUUUCUCUGUGACCUCUGAAAGCAGACUGGAUGACUGUUGCAGCCUGAUACCUUUGUUUGAUUAAGUGUCUUUUUUUCAUUCUUCGAAAGGCAGAUUGGAGAUAACAAGCAGCAUUCCUGAAUUCUUGAUAGCGUUUCAUUUCUAAGUUCCUCUGUCUCAGAGCUCUAAACCUUUGCUGUAUAACACGAGCAGCCAAGCAUUGUUUCCUGAAGACCAGUUGUUGCUUAUGCCUCUUGAAGUUUGCUUGUACAAUUGUUGCAGCUCUGUGCAUCUUGGCAAUCCUUCUUCUAACAGAGAGACCUCUGAUAGCUGCCUGAAGAGUGAUUGCUGAGGAUCUUACUUUCAAAUAGUAUCUCUGGUCUUUUUUCUGAAGGAGAUGGGCCCGGUAAUAUUUCUGGAUUAUUAUUGUCGACAGACGUAAGUCCUGGAAUUUGACUUCUUCUCUGUGCAUUCUGAAAGUAGACUGAAUCAAAGUGGCAGCCUGAUGCCAACAAGCAACAUCCUUCCUGACCCUCAGUCCUCUGUAUGCAGCCUGAAUGAUGACUGCAGACUUGUGCAAGUUUUGGUAAUGUUGCAUUGCAGCCUUGGCUGCUUGAGUGGCGCGGAAUCUACGUUGUACAGCAAGCACUGAAGAUUUUAACGUAAUGUACUUUUUGUGUUCGAAGUGGGCUCUGAAAGCUCUCUGAAUAAUAGAGGAGGCUUUCUGCUUUCGUUUAAUCAUUUUUCUGCAGAUCAUUCCCCGGACAGCGGAUUGUAGGACAAUCACAGCAUGUCUCUUUGCAGUCAGAGCCUGCUUCUCACGUCUUAUUUCUUUGUUGGCUUUGUAACGUGCUUGCAAAACACCAGAAGCCCAUCGAAGCCUCCUAUAGUAGUUUGUCUGUAGAUAUCUCCGAAAGUUUGACUGAAUCUUAACAGCAGCGCUAUGCUUGAUGCCUAACUGCUUUCGGAUGAUGUAUCCUCUCAAGGCCGCUUGCAGGAAAAUGACCAACCUACACUUUGAGAGAUAAUGCUCCCGCUCUUCUCUCAUCAGGAUCACAGCUCUGUACCGCUGCUGGAAAGCCAAUGUUGCCGACCUAAUAGCAAGGAAUUUAUUCCUCUCCCGCAUCGUGAGAAACUUUCUCUGAAGAACAAUAGCCGCACGCUGCAUCUGUGCAAUUUUCACCCUGGUUCGAUGACCACGAUAUGCGGCCUGGAUGAUAAUAGCGGCAGAUUUCAUGGUCCUGUACUUCUUCAGUUGUUGAUCCAUGAGCAUUUUGGCCCUGAAUCGCUCUUGUAAAAUGAUAGCAGCACACUUCAUAGUAACAUAAGCCAUAUGUACUCUGUGCAUUUUGAACAGAGCCUGGAUUACUCUUGCGGCAUUGUCCCUUUUCUUAAAUUCUUCUCUUUGUCUCCAGCCUCUGUAAAUUGUUUGGAUUUUUAAAGCAGCUUUUUUUAGCUCUUCAUACUUGUGUCGGUGUGCUCUACAGAGGAGUAGAGCUCUAUAACGGCUCUGGAUGAUAAUGGUUGCACUUUGAAUGAGAAUGUAUUGUUUCCUCAUUAAAUACAUCCUAAAUGCAGCCUGGAUGACAACUGCAGAUUUGUGCUUUUCCUUAAGGUCUGUCCUAACUUUCAUUCCUCUAUAUCCUGCUGCUAUCUUGACACAGGCUGCUCGCUUCUGGAGAAAUGCUGUCCUGGUUUUCUUUCCAGCCACAUAGGCCUGAUAGUGACGUUGAAUGACAACAGCUGCUGCCUUUUUUGACCUAAACUCCACUUGGGCCUUGUAUCGCAAGUAGUGGGCCUUGAUAAGUGUUGCACACUGGUGGGAUUUUUCAAGCCUCAUCCUGUCAGCUCGACCUCUCCAAUUGGCUUGUAUUAUGAGUACGGCCUUUUUUAAAGUUUCAUAGUCCUCCUUCGUCCUACGAGAUAAAAUUGUGGCUCGACGCUUUUGCUGUAUCACAACUGUUGCUUUUCUCAGAGCAAGGUAGCGUCUUCGGGUAACAAAUUUUCUGAACGCAGCCUGUAUCGCAGUUGCAGCUCUGUGCUGUUUAAGUGAAUUACAUGCUCUUUUUCUCCGGUAAGCCACCUGAAUGGUCCUAGCUGCACAGCACAUCUUGAGAAAUAGUUGCCUUUCCACAUUUCUUCGAGCAGAGGCCCGGUACCACCGCUGGAUAAGGACUGUAGCAUAUUUUAAUCUCAAAGCCUUUUUCCUGACACAGUACCCUCUGAAAGCACUCUGAAUGACAAUGGCUGCGUUGAGUUGUUGCUUGUGCUUCUGAUACUGGCAUCUUUGUGCAUGACCUCUGUAAUGGGCUUGAAUGAACAAGGCACUUCUUUGGAUUUUUCUGUAUUGAUAUAAGCACCUCUGCAUUCUAUAGAAAGACUGAAUCUUAAUAGCAGCUGCUGCUCUUUUGGCAAUUUUCUCGAUGUACCAUUUCCUAAAUGCGGUUUGCAAAACUCUGGCAGCAUGGUUUUCCCUUUGAGUUUUCUGGAUUUUCCAACGUCUGUAUCCUCUCUGAAUUUUCAGCACUGCUGCUUUGAGAGAAAGAUAACUUGUGUGUUCCUUUCUUCCAAUAAUGAAAGCUUUUAAAUAUCGCUGCAAAACAGUUGUUGCACAGUAGAUUCUUCCGUAAGCAAAGACUGCCCUCUUCAUUCGCCACUGUGAUUGGACAACAAUGGUCUUGUAUCGGAGAUUCUGGUAAUAUGUCAGGGCUGAGAACAUUCUCCAUUGUGCCUUUGUAAAAAAGAAACAAGUAAUUGAACAAUUCAAUAAGUACCUUUAUAUUUGCUUUGUAUAUAUUUGUGAUGUAAACUGAAAUGGCAUGUCAAGAAUAAAACUAGGUGAAGGGAAAUCAGUACUCCUAAGUAACACAAUGCAGUGGAUUGACUCAAUGAGGCUGAUAAAGUACCAACAGUAAUAAAAUACAAAUCACUGACAAAGAUAUCAGAUUUAUCCAUCUCCUCUGAUUAAUAUUGUAAAUGCUUAUUUUCAAGAAAUACUAUUAAAUAAAAUUUUAGAUUUAGGGGGGGUUUAGGGGUCCUUAAAGGGUUAAUUCCGAGUUACGCGGAAAUUCGGAUUAAGUCGCCAGCGUAGGAACGGAAGUAGUUCGUAACCCGGCAACUACCUGUAGUUUAAACCGUAAAUAUACCACAAACUAUGACAGAAACAGACUGACUGUUAGAGGUGUAACGAUACAUCAUCCUGAAUUUAUAGAUUAUAUGACAUAAAAAGACAAAAAUAAAAUCAGAUUUCUUUAUUUUCUAUUAUAAAUCACUAAGGAUUAAGCCUGAACGAUAUAUCGUUUAAACAUCGCCAUCGCAAUGUGCGCGAUAGUCCCAUCGCAAGCACGUGCGAUAGUUAUUUUUUUAAAUCCACAUACGCCUUGCUUUCUGCUCUGCACACAGCCUCACACCCUCCCUCUCCCAGCCCUUUGUUCCACACAGUCACUGCAGCACUUCCUUAUUAAAGUUAACGAUGCUCGUUGUCUUUGAUCUUGCCAAAGAAGCGGACUACAAAGCGGAGCAAUGUGUCAAUCAUCGUUUAACUUGUUAAACAGUUUCUGCAAGGAAGCCGCACUGGAAUGAAGGUGUGUGUGUGUGUGUGUGUGUGUGUGUGUGUGUGUGUGUGUGUGUGUGUGUGUGUGUGUGUGUGUGUGUGGAGACGUUGGAGACAUAAAAUAAAUGCCAGAAGUGAUCAUGAGGAGUUUCAAAUUUCUACAUGUCACUCCAAGAGUCACAGCUAAGGUAAAUAAACAGAAGCAUUUAAUCAAGCCAAGCAUUUUUCUACUACAGUACUUUAUUCUUGUUCAAAAAUGAUUUGGUUGGACAGUUAUGUUUAAAACUGAUGAUAAUUAUGACAUUUGAAGUAGAGCUAAAACGAAUACUCCUGCAACUCGAGUAACUCGAGUUUAAAAACUGAUCCGAGUAAUUUUAUUCACCUCGAGUAAUCAUUUAUUUUGACAGCUCUAAGAAAUCACGUUUUGCUCGGACUACUUUUAAUGCGGGACAACGCGUUGAUGUCACGUGCGUAGAGGAAGAAGCAAAAAAAAAAAAAAAAAAAAACCUUACUGCAGCCGACAGCCGCUACAAACGACACUGACGUUGCUAAAUACUAGCCCGCACAAGGCUACGUUGGUAGCAGGUAGCGUCUGAUGAGUCUCAUAGAGAUCACAUGUAUGUUGAACUAGAUGCGAAAUGACAGACUCGGCCGCUUCUCGGCAGCGUUAGUAAACAGCCGCCAUCUUAAAGCAGUAGAGCGCUAAGCGCUAAUAAAGAGCGCUAAGUGCUAAUAAAUAAGAUUAACGUUACUGUCACUAGCUCACGUAAGGUUAGCCCUGCGGAGGGCUAGGUUUCUAUUAAUUAUGACCACUGUCGAUGCGUGGCUAACAUGUCUUACAUACAGGCUUUAACAUAACAUAGCGUUGUGGAGUGAUGAGGGUGUAAAAUAAAAACUCAAUAAUGCUAACUAUCAAUUUUAGCUCCGUAGUCAUUGCUGGAUAAAACACCAAGUAGCACUGGUCCCUAAUGUGCUCUAAUACAGCCUGUAUCAUACAUUUAUUUUGAACACUGCAAAAACUCAAAAUACUAUCAGGACUUACAGUUUAGACGAACUUAAAACUUAACUAGAACUUAAAAAUGGCUUGACACAAAUAGAAAUUCAAUUGAAACACGUGGGGAAAAAAUCCUAAUUUUUAAGUGAUGUGUGUUAUCAAGCGUAACGGCAUUUUUAUAUAUUUUUUUUUAAUAAGAUCUAAAGGUUUUUUUGAGUGAAAGCAGUGAAUUAGUUUUUUUUUAAUUUUUAUUCUAGUUACAUCUGAGAUGCAAUUGUUGGCUGUUUUCAACAAUAUACAUCGAAAAUAAAGACAUUGAUUGACUGAAAAUGGUUCAAGAUUGGAUGAAAUGUCUUGUUUUCUCAUGUAUAUUUAUAAUUGCCCUUCUCCUAAAAAUAUAUUUGUUUUAUCCGAUUACUCUAUUAAUCGAUAGAAUUUUCAGUCGAUUACUCAAUUACUAAAAUAUUAGAUAGCUGCAGCCCUAAUUUGAAGAGCUUAAAAACCAUUUAUUUAUAUACAUUUUUAAAUCACUUUGGGGGAAAAAGUGAGAAAAAAACAUGUCUAAUAUGUAUCUCUUUCCAUUGCUAAAUCUGAAUAAAUACAUUGAGCACAAAAAACACACACACACACACAAAAAAAUAAAAUAAAAUAAAAAAUUGGGGGGGUGCGCUACUUCGCGGUUUUUCACUUAUCGCGGCGGGUUCUGGUCCCCAUUAACCGCGAAAAACGAGGGAUCACUGUACACUGUGGUGAUGGUGAGUCAUCCAAAGUCUUUCCAAACAGCUAUUCAAGUCAUCCAGUGAAAAAAAUAAAAUAAAAUAAAACACACACACACACAUAUAUAUAUAUAUAUAUAUAUAUACACAUACAUACACACACACACAUAUAUACACAUACAUACACACACACACAUAUAUACACAUACAUACACACACACACAUAUAUACACAUACAUACACACACACACAUAUAUACACAUACAUACACACACACACAUAUAUACACAUACAUACACACACACACAUAUAUAUAUAUAUAUUUUUUUUUUUAUAUCGCAAUAUUAUAUCGCAAACCCCCCAAAAAUCGCAACAAUAGUUUUUUCCAAUAUCGUUCAGGCCUACUAAGGAUAGAAACCAAAAUAAAUAAAUGUAUUUACACAAGGCUCCACUGCAUUUGUGUAUUAACUUUUUUUUCCCAAUGUAAAGCAGAGUCAUAGGAGUUACAGAAAUGCUACACAAGAGUUAAGAUACCUGGAUGAUUGUUGCUGCUCGUUCUCGUAUGAUCCAGAGUUCUUUUUCCUUUUCAAUCUGCAGCUUUUUGCGGGUUACAAAGCCUCUCCAAGCUGAUUUUAUGAUUGUGGAUGCUGCAUAUUGCUUUUUGGCCCUGUGACGCUGGAGAAAAUGCCUCACAGCUGCCUGAAUUUUCACAGCAGCCAUGUUUCUCUCCUGUCCAAACAGGAAAUGGUAAAUGGUGUUAUACUUAUAUAGCGCUUUUCCAACAAAAUUAUCACCACAAUCAGAUGCAAGACCAUAAAAUUUGAGCCUGGAGAGAUACACAGAUAUGAAAAUUGCAACACUCGGUUACCCUCAGAUGUGACCAACCUUGUAGCACUGCAAGUCUUUUUUUAACCUGUAAUUCCUCCAGACACCUUGUAUGACCCGGGCUGCUCUGGUUUCAUUACGCAGGUCCAAGAGACGAGCACACAGGAAAGACAGGUAAGACAUUACAACCUGUUGAGGAAGUAUAAAUAGAUAAGUAUGGGGUUGAUUUUUCUUGCACAUUUAGACAUUUCACUUGUUAGGAAACACCGACUCUCACACUAAACUUGUGGAUCUUCAAGGGUAACGUCUGGAGUUACACCAUAUUCACAACUAUACAGUAUACUGUAUUGCUCCACUAGUCUUACAAUGCGUAUCUAUGAUUAUGGUUUUGUGUUAGUUUGGAUAAAAAUCUGGCUCAUCACACCUUCUCAUUGGGGAUGGUGUUGGACAUGUCAGCUGGGUUGAUCAUGGCAGGUACUCCACCCAAAAAAGCCACUGCAGUAUUAACCAAGCUAAAAUUGCUCUUUUCAUUUUCCAGCAGCUCUGCAAACUUCAUAGCAGGGUACAGGCCUGUUCCGGGAACAAACAAACAAAAAGUUCAAAUUGACUCUUGAAUAUCAUGUUUUGAGUGAAUGACACACACCAUUAAGGCCUGUGGGACAGGAGUCAAAGGAAUUGUCAGAGUCUGUGGCCGAGCAGUUGAGCUCCAGGCGACCCCUUGAUGAGCAAUCUACAGUUUGGGUGGUGUAAUGAUGCACAGACUCCGCUGUGAUGAGACCGGGAUGGUAGUGGUGGAUUAGGUAGCAGAGGACACGGCCAUCUGAGAAUGUCACAGUGAAGUUCUCCAGCUAAAGAAAGAAGAAAAAAAAAAAUACUUCAAUCAACAUUAGGCUCUCCUGAAGGUCAAAUUUUGUUGCCAGGUGUCAAGGAGGGGAAAAAAAAUUCCUAUAGUUUUCAUACUAAUCGACACACUUAAAGUUCUUUUUUGUCUCCAAAAUUGACAGCACCCCCCCCCCCCCCCCACACACACACACAUAUAUUAGGGCUGUCAAAAUUAUCACGUUAAAGGGCGGUAAUUAAUUUUUUUUAAUUAAUCACGUUAAAAUAUUUGACGCAAUUAACGCACAUGCCCCGCUCAGACAGAUUUAAAUGACAGUACAGUGAAAUGCCCACUUGUUAAUUGUGUUUUAUGGAGUUUUGCCACCCUCUGCUGGCGAUUGGGUGCGACUGAUUUUAUAGGCUUAAGCACCCAUGAGCAUUGUGUAAGUAAUUAUUGACAUCAACAAUGGCGGGCUACUAGUUUAUUUUUUGAUUGAAAAUUUUUCAAAUUUUAUUAAAACAAAAACAUUAAGAGGGAUUUUAAUAUAAAAUUUCUAUAACUUGUACUAACAUUUAUCUUUUAAGAACUACAAGUUUUUCUA
This is a long non-coding RNA of Corythoichthys intestinalis (scribbled pipefish), 12985 nucleotides long. RefSeq lists it as uncharacterized. The transcript is spliced from 3 exons. Lineage: Eukaryota; Metazoa; Chordata; Actinopteri; Syngnathiformes; Syngnathidae. The record is from RefSeq and is a predicted model, not a curated record.